GAGUGGAAAUUGCCAUUGCCCUAUGGUCUUCGUCUGGUGCACUUCAACGGAUUACGGAAAUCGGAGAAGAAGCUG
This 75-nucleotide transfer RNA is filed under the name Markhamia cauda-felina. RNAcentral describes it as "tRNA-Pro". The record is from RNAcentral. Lineage: Eukaryota; Viridiplantae; Streptophyta; Magnoliopsida; Lamiales; Bignoniaceae.